CGGCGGACAGGAAGUGCUCGCUCUGUGAGCACUUCAUUUCCGGCUGCCCGGGUACAGGAAACAUAAGUUCCUGUACCGCGGUGCGCUCGGCCACGCUACACAGAGUGAAUGGCAGGAGGGAGCGCUCUGCGCUCACCUCCUGCCGGUCACUCCGGCUUUGCGCCCGCCGGGCCGGUGCACCCUAAGGCGGCCACUUGUGCCGCCUUAUGGAUGCGCCGGCGGAGCGCACCCUCCCUCUCUCCGGCGACCUAUGGCCGCGUGCCCACAGAGUGGGCUUGGCGUGCCACCUGUGGCACGCGUGCCAUAGGUUCGCCACCACUGCCCUAUAGUGUUAACACCACCAUAUGGGCCCCUCAUGCCUCCAUAAAUAUAGUAAAAAUCUUACUGUAUUCAAGCCUGAAGCUGUAAAUCUGCAUGCUGUUAGAGUCAGAAAAACAAGCAGUCUGCUGACAUGUGGUAGCCUGAUCCAAUCACAAUGCUUCCCCAUAGGAUUGGCUGAGACUGACAAAGAGGCAGAUCAGGGGCAGAGCCAGCAUGAUUCAAACACAGCCCUGGCCAAUCAGCAUCUCCUCAUAGAGAUACAUUGAAUCAAUGAAUCUCUAUGAGGAAAGUUCAGUGUCUGCAUGCAGAGGGAGGAGAUACUAAAUCACAGGGUGCUGUGCACAGUGCUGCCCUGUGCUCCGCUGACAGCAGAUCUGAGUGGAUGGAGGCAUAUUAUGCCUCCAUCAACUCCGAAGUCCCUCUGAUUCCCUCUGAGUGACUGCAACAGGAGGUGUUCCUAGCUUUCAAUGUAAACACUGUAUUUUCUCAGAAAAUACAGUGUUUACAUGAGAGAGGCUGCAGGGAGCUAUAGUUCUCACCUGAUCAACCUCAUUAAGCUGAAGUUGUUCAGGUGACUAUAGUGUCCCUUUAAAUAAAGUCCUUCCAUGCUUGCUCCCUCCCAUCCACCUCUUUGGCUGACAUCAUCAGAAUUGGUGAUCGCUGCCAAGCACAAUGCUUUCCUAUAGGAAAGCAGUGGAUUGCCUGAGAUGAUCAAUUCUGAUCAUCUCAGCCAGUAAGAUGGGGUGGGGCGGAGACAAACCCCACCCUGGCCAAUUAGCAUCUCCUCAUAGAGAUGCAUUGAAUCAAUGCAUAUCUAUGGGGAAAGUUCUGCAUCUCCAUGCAGAUAUGGUGCUGACCUAGGAAGCAUCUCUAGUGGCCAUCUGAGUGACUGUCACUAGAGGUGUUACUAGGCACCAAUCUUAACACCUUUCUCUGAAAAGGCAGUGUUUACAUUGAAAUGCCUGCAUGGACUGACUAUAGACACCAUAACAAAUACAUUAAGCUUUAUAGUAUACAUUAACCUGUUGCUAGUUGUUCUGGUGACUAUAGUGUAACUAAUUUAAAAAAAAAACCUACUUGGAUCAUAUACCUUUUGCCCGAAAAAAAGACAUCCCCCGAAAAUAAGCCCUAGUCAUUCGCUAAUUUUCCCCAAACAUAGAUUUUGGGAAUUCCCCCGGACCAUAGACCUGCUUUCCAGUACACGUUUUUCCCAUGAAAUAAGACCCGGUUUUAUUAAUAUAAGACCUGAAAGGGUUAAUGCUGUUCUGGACUCAACUCCCCUCGAUUCUCGAUUCUCCGGUCACCAUAAUUAAAUUGAUGGAGAAUCAUUGUUAGCAAUAAAGACACGGACACCACAAAUGUGCUUUAACAAGAUUCUCAAAUGAGUGUAUUUUCAGGGCUAGCAUUUAUACACAGUUUGUCACGCAAGCAGCGAGAUUUAUCGCUUCAUUAUAGUUAAUAGCACAUAAUUCUCUGACAUUAAAAAGAUAAGCAUUUGAAUAAAGACGGGACAGGAACAUCCUGAGGUCGACCGACGUCAUACAUCCUGUAGAAGGGAGACCUCUCAGAGCAUGUUACAGAAUACAUCUACCAAGGUCAGCAUAAUUAUUUCAAACAUUAUUUUAAAGCAUAUAAUGCAAAAAGAGUUAACUAUUUCAUUGCCUUACAAGAUCCAGUCUUAAUUUUGUGGAAAGACAGUAUAUGUAUAUACAUAUGAUCUAA
This is a non-coding RNA of Pelobates cultripes (western spadefoot toad), 2043 nucleotides long. The record is from the annotation of a GenBank genome assembly. Lineage: Eukaryota; Metazoa; Chordata; Amphibia; Anura; Pelobatidae.